AAGAGAGGAGCUUGCUCUUCUUGGAUGAGUUGCGAACGGGUGAGUAACGCGUAGGUAACCUGCCUUGUAGCGGGGGAUAACUAUUGGAAACGAUAGCUAAUACCGCAUAACAAUGGAUGACACAUGUCAUUUAUUUGAAAGGGGCAAUUGCUCCACUACAAGAUGGACCUGCGUUGUAUUAGCUAGUAGGUGAGGUAAUGGCUCACCUAGGCGACGAUACAUAGCCGACCUGAGAGGGUGAUCGGCCACACUGGGACUGAGACACGGCCCAGACUCCUACGGGAGGCAGCAGUAGGGAAUCUUCGGCAAUGGGGGCAACCCUGACCGAGCAACGCCGCGUGAGUGAAGAAGGUUUUCGGAUCGUAAAGCUCUGUUGUAAGUCAAGAACGGGUGUGAGAGUGGAAAGUUCACACUGUGACGGUAGCUUACCAGAAAGGGACGGCUAACUACGUGCCAGCAGCCGCGGUAAUACGUAGGUCCCGAGCGUUGUCCGGAUUUAUUGGGCGUAAAGCGAGCGCAGGCGGUUUGAUAAGUCUGAAGUUAAAGGCUGUGGCUCAACCAUAGUUCGCUUUGGAAACUGUCAAACUUGAGUGCAGAAGGGGAGAGUGGAAUUCCAUGUGUAGCGGUGAAAUGCGUAGAUAUAUGGAGGAACACCGGUGGCGAAAGCGGCUCUCUGGUCUGUAACUGACGCUGAGGCUCGAAAGCGUGGGGAGCGAACAGGAUUAGAUACCCUGGUAGUCCACGCCGUAAACGAUGAGUGCUAGGUGUUGGAUCCUUUCCGGGAUUCAGUGCCGCAGCUAACGCAUUAAGCACUCCGCCUGGGGAGUACGACCGCAAGGUUGAAACUCAAAGGAAUUGACGGGGGCCCGCACAAGCGGUGGAGCAUGUGGUUUAAUUCGAAGCAACGCGAAGAACCUUACCAGGUCUUGACAUCCCGAUGCUAUUUCUAGAGAUAGAAAGUUACUUCGGUACAUCGGUGACAGGUGGUGCAUGGUUGUCGUCAGCUCGUGUCGUGAGAUGUUGGGUUAAGUCCCGCAACGAGCGCAACCCCUAUUGUUAGUUGCCAUCAUUCAGUUGGGCACUCUAGCGAGACUGCCGGUAAUAAACCGGAGGAAGGUGGGGAUGACGUCAAAUCAUCAUGCCCCUUAUGACCUGGGCUACACACGUGCUACAAUGGUUGGUACAACGAGUUGCGAGUCGGUGACGGCGAGCUAAUCUCUUAAAGCCAAUCUCAGUUCGGAUUGUAGGCUGCAACUCGCCUACAUGAAGUCGGAAUCGCUAGUAAUCGCGGAUCAGCACGCCGCGGUGAAUACGUUCCCGGGCCUUGUACACACCGCCCGUCACACCACGAGAGUUUGUAACACCCGAAGUCGGUGAG
This 1378-nucleotide ribosomal RNA is filed under the name Streptococcus sp. Q2. RNAcentral describes it as "16S ribosomal RNA". It matches the Rfam family "Bacterial small subunit ribosomal RNA", at positions 69 to 1434 of the family's 1533-position model. Lineage: Bacteria; Bacillati; Bacillota; Bacilli; Lactobacillales; Streptococcaceae. The record is from RNAcentral.